Molecule: ribosomal RNA, 1434 nt
Filed under: Hydropsyche trifora
Lineage: Eukaryota; Metazoa; Arthropoda; Insecta; Trichoptera; Hydropsychidae
Description: 16S ribosomal RNA
Source: RNAcentral
AAUAAUUAUUUAUUAAUUAAAAUAAUAUUAAAUUAAAAAAUUUGUUUUAGUAAAAUUAUUUUAAGAAAAAAUAUUAAAUAUUUUUAUAGUAAAUUAGUAAAGUUAUUGAAUUUUUAAAAUUAUUAAAUAAAUUUUAAAUUAUUCAAAGUAGAUUUAAGUUAUUGUAUCUUGGGUAUCAGAGUUUAAUAAAAAGAAUUAAAAAUUUUAUAUUUCUCGAAAAAAAUUAAGAGUUAAGAAUUAAAUAUUUAUUAAUGUUUAAAAAUUAUAAAUAAUUAAUUUUUUGAAAUGAAAAGUUAUUCGUUUUUUUUUAUAUCUAGUUUUAAAAGAAAUAAAUUUAAUUUAAUUUAUUAUUAAAAAUAUUAAAAUUAUUAAUUUAAAUAUUAAUAUUAUAAAAAAAAAUAUAAUGAUAAAUAUAUAUAUAAAGGGUUAAGCUUUUAUAUAAAUUUUUAUAUUAAUUAAUUUUUUAAAUAAAAUUAUAGAAUUAAAAUUUUUUUUUAUUUAAUAUAUUAAUUUAUUAUUUAUUUAUAAAAAAAAAUAAUAUUUAUUUUUAGAUUAAUUAUUUAUUUUGACAAUUUUAUUAAUUAUUAUUAAUAAGAGUUAAUGUUAUAAUUAGUAUAAAUUUAUUAAAAAUUUGAUUUUAAAUUUUUAUUUAAAAUUAAUUAAUUAGGCAAAAUAAAAUUAUUAAUUAUAUAAAAUUUAAUUAUUUCACAUGUUUAACAAAAACAUGUCUUUUAGUUUAUAAAUUUAAAGUCUAAUCUGCCCACUGAAAAAUUUUUUAAAGGGCUGCAGAAUUUUAACUGUACGAAGGUAGCAUAAUAAAUUGUUUUUUAAUUGAAAACUAGAAUGAAUGAUUUUAUGAAAAUAAAACUGUAUUUAUUUUAAAUUUAAAAUUUAUUUUUUUUGUAAAAAAACAAAAAUAAUAUAAAAAGACGAGAAGACCCUUUAGAUUUUUAUUUUUUUUGAUUUUUAAUUAUUUAUAAUAUCUAAUAAAAUGAUGUAAAAUUAAAUGUAUAAUUAUUAUAAAAAUUAAUUUAAAUUUAAUUGGGGUGAUUUAUAAAUUUUUAAACUUUAAUUUAUUAAUAUAAAUAAUUUAAUUAAAAAAUAAAAUUUUAAAUUUGUAUGASAAUUUAUAAUUAAAUGUAGGCGAAUUGAUUUAGUUUUAUGGAUUAAAAGAUUAAAUUACCUAAGGGAUAACAGCGUUAUUUAAAUUUUUAGUUCUUAUGGAAAUUUGAGAUUGCGACCUCGAUGUUGGAUUAAGAUAAAUUGAAAAUGCAGAAGUUUUUAAAUUUAGUCUGUUCGACUAUUAAAAUCUUACAUGAUCUGAGUUCAAACCGGUGUGAGCCAGGUUGGUUUCUAUCUUUUAUUUAAAGUUAAAUUUUUUAGUACGAAAGGAUUAAAAAUUUAAAAUAAAAAAUUUUUGAUUUAAAUGAAUUU